This 337-nucleotide ribosomal RNA is filed under the name uncultured bacterium. Its description in RNAcentral is "partial 16S ribosomal RNA". It matches the Rfam family "Bacterial small subunit ribosomal RNA", at positions 338 to 667 of the family's 1533-position model. The record is from RNAcentral.
CCUACGGGAGGCAGCAGUGGGGAAUAUUGCGCAAUGGGCGAAAGCCUGACGCAGCGACGCCGCGUGAGGGAUGAAGGUCUUCGGAUCGUAAACCUCUGUCAGCAGGGAAGAACGGUCACUGUGCUAAUCAGCAGUGAAUUGACGGUACCUGCAAAGGAAGCACCGGCUAACUCCGUGCCAGCAGCCGCGGGAAUACGGAGGGUGCGAGCGUUAAUCGGAAUUACUGGGGGUAAAUCGCUCGUAUGCGGUAUGUCAAGUCAAGGGUGAAAACCCCGCGCUCAACGUGGGAACUGCCUUUGAAACUGGAAAACUGGAGUGUGUGAGAGGAUAGUGGAAU